Molecule: unclassified non-coding RNA, 148 nt
Organism: Pongo abelii (Sumatran orangutan)
Lineage: Eukaryota; Metazoa; Chordata; Mammalia; Primates; Hominidae
Rfam family: Metazoan signal recognition particle RNA
About the family: The signal recognition particle (SRP) is a universally conserved ribonucleoprotein.
Source: Ensembl
GCUGGGCAUGGUGGUGGGCGCCUGUAAUCCCAGCUACUCGGGAGGCUGAGGCAGGAGAAUCGCUUGAACCCAGGAGGUCGAGGUUGCAGUGUGCCAAGAUUGUGCCACUGCACUCUAGCCUGGGUGACAGAGCAAGACUCUGUCUCAA